UACGUAGGGUGCAAGCGUUAAUCGGAAUUACUGGGCGUAAAGCGUGCGUAGGUGGUUUGUUAAGUCUGAUGUGAAAGCCCUGGGCUCAACCUGGGAGUUGCAUUGGAUACUGGCAGGCUAGAGUGCGGUAGAGGAUGGCGGAAUUCCCGGUGUAGCAGUGAAAUGCGUAGAGAUGUGGAGGAACACCGAUGGCGAAGGCAGCCCCCUGGGUCAAGAUUGACGCUCAUGCACGAAAGCGUGGGGAGCAAACAGG
Molecule: ribosomal RNA, 253 nt
Filed under: uncultured bacterium
Lineage: Bacteria
Description: partial 16S ribosomal RNA
Rfam family: Bacterial small subunit ribosomal RNA
Source: RNAcentral